RNAcentral lists this small RNA (288 nucleotides) under bacterium SCGC AG-212-C10. RNAcentral's name for it is "5' ureB small RNA". It matches the Rfam family "5' ureB small RNA". The record is from Rfam by way of RNAcentral.
CGACCGCGAUCUGCGGGCAAAUGAGGUGGAUGUGGCCAUCGAUUCCGCCGGCGGUCACGAUCAUGUGCUCGCCCGCGAUCACCUCGGUGCCUGCACUGAUCACCAUUCCUGGCGUAACACCGUCCAUGGUGUCCGGGUUGCCAGCGGCGCCGAUGUGGCUGAUCCGCCCUGCCUUGAUGCCGAUGUCUGCCUUGACGAUGCCCCAGUGGUCGAUGAUGACCGCGUUCGUGAUCACGAGAUCGAGCGCUUCCCCGGGCGAGGCGGUCUGCGCCAUGCCGUCACGGAUGG